This 253-nucleotide ribosomal RNA is filed under the name uncultured bacterium. RNAcentral's name for it is "partial 16S ribosomal RNA". It matches the Rfam family "Bacterial small subunit ribosomal RNA", at positions 524 to 776 of the family's 1533-position model. The record is from RNAcentral.
UACGGGGGGGGCAAGCGUUGUUCGGAAUCAUUGGGCGUAAAGGGCUCGUAGGUGGCCAACUAAGUCAGACGUGAAAUCCCUCGGCUUAACCGGGGAACUGCGUCUGAUACUGGAUGGCUUGAGUUCGGGAGAGGGAUGCGGAAUUCCAGGUGUAGCGGUGAAAUGCGUAGAUAUCUGGAGGAACACCGGUGGCGAAGGCGGCACCCUGGACCGGCACUGACGCUGAGGAGCGAAAGCCAGGGGAGCAAACCGG